UUUUUUUUUAAAGCUAAAGUUAGGUGGGCUAUAAAAGUGGGGCCAUUAAUACUAAUGACAUAUCUGACUAAUGUUUUGCUGUGUGGCCUACCUUAUCAAUCAAUCGAUCAGCUCGUUUGGGCCGGAAUGCACACAGUAGAGGGCUUGAGUUACAUUUACAGUGGGCUUCACAAAGCUUCAGCCCACACAGAUACAGCCCAGUCAAGUAUCUACUCGACCCGACCUAACAACUAUCAAACAUGCGGAUGAUCCGUGACAGGAGCGCGCAGCUUCGGACUGUGGGGCGUACCAAGAUAUGUAAUGGUGGGCCCAACAGCCAGGGAUCCAUCCACCCAAGCCACGCCGCUGCCAGUGGCAUCAAGUCACCAUGCAAUCCGCC
This is a long non-coding RNA of Magnolia sinica, 379 nucleotides long. RefSeq lists it as uncharacterized. The record is from RefSeq and is a predicted model, not a curated record. The transcript is spliced from 3 exons. Lineage: Eukaryota; Viridiplantae; Streptophyta; Magnoliopsida; Magnoliales; Magnoliaceae.